This 490-nucleotide ribosomal RNA is filed under the name uncultured bacterium. RNAcentral's name for it is "partial 16S ribosomal RNA". It matches the Rfam family "Bacterial small subunit ribosomal RNA", at positions 30 to 507 of the family's 1533-position model. The record is from RNAcentral.
AUUGAACGCUGGCGGCAGGCCUAACACAUGCAAGUCGAACGGUAACAGGAAGAAGCUUGCUUCUUUGCUGACGAGUGGCGGACGGGUGAGUAAUGUCUGGGAAACUGCCUGAUGGAGGGGGAUAACUACUGGAAACGGUAGCUAAUACCGCAUAACGUCGCAAGACCAAAGAGGGGGACCUUCGGGCCUCUUGCCAUCGGAUGUGCCCAGAUGGGAUUAGCUAGUAGGUGGGGUAACGGCCCACCUAGGCGACGAUCCCUAGCUGGUCUGAGAGGAUGACCAGCCACACUGGAACUGAGACACGGUCCAGACUCCUACGGGAGGCAGCAGUGGGGAAUAUUGCACAAUGGGCGCAAGCCUGAUGCAGCCAUGCCGCGUGUAUGAAGAAGGCCUUCGGGUUGUAAAGUACUUUCAGCGGGGAGGAAGGGAGUAAAGUUAAUACCUGUGCUCAUUGACGUUACCCGCAGAAGAAGCACCGGCUAACUCCGUG